This 1100-nucleotide ribosomal RNA is filed under the name uncultured bacterium. Its description in RNAcentral is "bacterial SSU rRNA". It matches the Rfam family "Bacterial small subunit ribosomal RNA", at positions 407 to 1504 of the family's 1533-position model. The record is from RNAcentral.
AAAACACCCCUGUUGGGGUUAAACACCCCCUUUUGAGGGAGGAAAAAAAAGGGGCGGUCCCUCCAAGAAAGAACCCCCGGCCAAAUUUCGGCCCCAGCCCGCCGGUAUAUAUAGGUAGGGGGCCAACUUGUCUCCGGAAUUUUUGGGGCAUAAAGGGUUUGGAAGGCGGCUUAACAAGUCGGCCGGAAAAACCCCGGGGCUCAACCCUGGGACGCCGGUCGAUACUGUCAUGGCUAGGGUCCGGUAGAGGAGAAUGGAAUUCCCGGUGUAGCGGUGAAAUGCGCAGAUAUCGGGAGGAACACCAGUAGCGAAGGCGGUUCUCUGGGCCGGUACCGACGCUGAGGAGCGAAAGCGUGGGGAGCAAACAGGAUUAGAUACCCUGGUAGUCCACGCCGUAAACGUUGGGCACUAGGUGUGGCGUCUUUAUCAACGGAUGCCGUGCCGCAGCUAACGCAUUAAGUGCCCCGCCUGGGGAGUACGGCCGCAAGGCUAAAACUCAAAGGAAUUGACGGGAGCCCGCACAAGCGGCGGAGCAUGCGGCUUAAUUCGAUGCAACCCGAAGAACCUUACCUGGACUUGACAUCACGGGAAAAACCCUGGAAACAGGGUGUGCGUAAGCGUCCGUGACAGGUGGUGCAUGGUCGUCGUCAGCUCGUGUCGUGAGAUGUUGGGUUAAGUCCCGCAACGAGCGCAACCCCUGUCCUAUGUUGCCAGCGAGUUAUGUCGGGGACUCAUAGGAGACUGCCGGGGACAACUCGGAGGAAGGUGGGGACGACGUCAAAUCAUCAUGCCCCUUAUGUUCAGGGCUGCACGCAUGCUACAAUGGUCGGUACAACGGGCCGCGAUCCCGCAAGGGUGAGCCAAUCCCCCAAAGCCGGCCUCAGUUCGGAUUGGAGGCUGCAACUCGACUCCAUGAAGUCGGAGUCGCUAGUAAUCGCAAAUCAGCAAAGUUGCGGUGAAUGCGUUCUCGGGCUUUGUACACACCGCCCGUCACACCACGGAAGUAGGCAACGCCCAAAGUCAGUGGCCCAACUCUUCGGAGAGGGAGCUGCCUAAGGCGGGGUCUGUGACUGGGGUGAAGUCGUAACAAGGUAACCGUA